UGUUUUAAAUAAAAAAGAUAUUUUUAAAAAUUAAUUGCUUCAAAUUAAAUUAAAAUUAGUCAAAAUAAAAUAAUUUUCGUGAUCAACUUUUUUAGUUUUUUAUCAUAAAAAGAUACUCUUGUCAUCAUCUUAUAAAUAGCCUAUUAGAUUGGUUUUCUUGUAAACCAUUUAACAUAAUUUUACAUUUUUAUCUAGUCAUCUUAUAAGUAGAAUGGCAACCCACAACAAUAUCCUCCUCUUUACCUUUGUAGUUUUGUGCAUUGUUUCCAUGGUGGUUGCAGGAGUACUAGAUGAGACAUUACAUUGCUUUCAAGGAAUAUGCCCUAAUUUCAACUGUGCCAAAUUUUGCUCUGGUGCAAAAGGCUACCCUAGAGGUGGUUACUGUUUGGGGGACUCACAAUUGUGUUGUUGCAUUGGAGCUUGAGAGAUCUAUGAUUGAUAAUUGUAUUUUCUCAACAUCAUUCUGCAAUUUAGUAUUUAUGUUUUUUUUAUUAAAAUAAGAUGAUUAGAAAUCACUAUUCUAACUUCAUUUCAAUAAAAGAAUUCACUUGUGUCAA
Molecule: long non-coding RNA, 557 nt
Organism: Lathyrus oleraceus (garden pea)
Lineage: Eukaryota; Viridiplantae; Streptophyta; Magnoliopsida; Fabales; Fabaceae
Exons: 2
Source: RefSeq, a predicted model, not a curated record